RNAcentral lists this transfer RNA (69 nucleotides) under Eothenomys melanogaster (Pere David's vole). RNAcentral's name for it is "tRNA-Gly". It matches the Rfam family "tRNA". From Rfam's summary of the family: Transfer RNA (tRNA) molecules are approximately 80 nucleotides in length. Their secondary structure includes four short double-helical elements and three loops (D, anti-codon, and T loops). The record is from RNAcentral. Lineage: Eukaryota; Metazoa; Chordata; Mammalia; Rodentia; Cricetidae.
ACUUUCUUAGUAUAAUCAGUAUAUCUGACUUCCAAUCAGUUGGUUCUAGUAAGACUCUAGAAGAAAGUA